Molecule: ribosomal RNA, 119 nt
Filed under: Betta splendens (Siamese fighting fish)
Lineage: Eukaryota; Metazoa; Chordata; Actinopteri; Anabantiformes; Osphronemidae
Source: RNAcentral
GCUUACGGCCAUACCACCCUGAGCACGCCCGAUCUCGUCUGAUCUCGGAAGCUAAGCAGUGUUGGGCCUGUUUUGUACUUGGAUGGGAGACCGCCUGGGAAUACCAGGUGCUGUAAGCU